RNAcentral lists this ribosomal RNA (467 nucleotides) under uncultured bacterium. RNAcentral describes it as "partial 16S ribosomal RNA". It matches the Rfam family "Bacterial small subunit ribosomal RNA", at positions 29 to 507 of the family's 1533-position model. The record is from RNAcentral.
ACGCACGCUGGCGGCGUGCUUAACACCUGCAAGUCGCACGGAAAGGCCCUGCUUUUGUGGGGUGCUCGAGUGGCGAACGGGUGAGUAACACGUGAGUAACCUGCCCUUGACUUUGGGAUAACUUCAGGAAACUGGGGCUAAUACCGGAUAGGAGCUCCUGCUGCAUGGUGGGGGUUGGAAAGUUUCGGCGGUUGGGGAUGGACUCGCGGCUUAUCAGCUUGUUGGUGGGGUAGUGGCUUACCAAGGCUUUGACGGGUAGCCGGCCUGAGAGGGUGACCGGCCACAUUGGGACUGAGAUACGGCCCAGACUCCUACGGGAGGCAGCAGUGGGGAAUAUUGCACAAUGGGCGGAAGCCUGAUGCAGCAACGCCGCGUGCGGGAUGACGGCCUUCGGGUUGUAAACCGCUUUCGCCUGUGACGAAGCGUGAGUGACGGUAAUGGGUAAAGAAGCACCGGCUAGCUACGUG